RNAcentral lists this ribosomal RNA (492 nucleotides) under uncultured bacterium. Its description in RNAcentral is "partial 16S ribosomal RNA". It matches the Rfam family "Bacterial small subunit ribosomal RNA", at positions 29 to 507 of the family's 1533-position model. The record is from RNAcentral.
AGUGAACGCUGGCGGUAGGCCUAACACAUGCAAGUCGAACGGCAGCACAGUAAGAGCUUGCUCUUACGGGUGGCGAGUGGCGGACGGGUGAGGAAUACAUCGGAAUCUACUUUUUCGUGGGGGAUAACGUAGGGAAACUUACGCUAAUACCGCAUACGACCUACGGGUGAAAGCAGGGGAUCUUCGGACCUUGCGCGAUUGAAUGAGCCGAUGUCGGAUUAGCUAGUUGGCGGGGUAAAGGCCCACCAAGGCGACGAUCCGUUGCUGGUCUGAGAGGAUGAUCGGCGACACUGGAACUGGGACACGGUCCAGAGUCCUAAGGGAGGCAGCAGUGGGGAAUAUUGGACAAUAGGCGCAAGCCUGAUCCAGCCAUAGCGCGUGGGUGGAGAAGGCCUUGGGGUUGUAAAGCCCUUUUGUUGGGAAAGAAAAGCAGCAGGUUAAGACCCCGCUGUUCUGACGGUACCCAAAGAAUAAGCACCGGCUAACUUCGUG